RNAcentral lists this non-coding RNA (46 nucleotides) under Schistosoma margrebowiei. Lineage: Eukaryota; Metazoa; Platyhelminthes; Trematoda; Strigeidida; Schistosomatidae. The record is from RNAcentral.
GCACAGCUGAAGAGUCCCAUACUAGGGUGAAACGACCGUCCAGUGC